AGCUUUGCACAGUGGCAGUAUCGUAGCCAAUGAGGUUAAUCCGAGGCGCGAUUACUGCUAGAUGAAAACUUAUCUUCACUCCU
This 83-nucleotide small nuclear RNA is filed under the name Crocodylus porosus (Australian saltwater crocodile). Its description in RNAcentral is "U4 spliceosomal RNA (ENSCPRG00005012431.1)". It matches the Rfam family "U4 spliceosomal RNA", at positions 1 to 83 of the family's 138-position model. From Rfam's summary of the family: U4 small nuclear RNA (U4 snRNA) is a component of the major U2-dependent spliceosome. The structure of U4 snRNA from yeast and human has been reported. The record is from RNAcentral. Lineage: Eukaryota; Metazoa; Chordata; Crocodylia; Crocodylidae.